Solanum lycopersicum (tomato) is the source of this 1639-nucleotide non-coding RNA. The record is from RefSeq and is a predicted model, not a curated record. Lineage: Eukaryota; Viridiplantae; Streptophyta; Magnoliopsida; Solanales; Solanaceae.
CAACCUCUCAAACAAAGAAAAGAAUUAUGUACUUGUGCAUAUUACUAUUAUAUAUACUGAAAUGUAAUAAAUUAGGACGACCAAGGGUAAGGUCUUAAAUAUUUUCAUUUUCAAGGGUAGUAUAGUCAAUAUACCAUGCAGAUUUUUUUAGCAAACCAUUUGUACCUCUUCAUAUUCUUCCAGAACGUUCUCCCUCUUUCAUGAAUCGAUCAUCUUCUUCUUUUUAUUACUUUAUCUAAUAAAAAAAAAUUUGGCACAAUCCUAUGAUAUUUUCAUAUUAUCAUCAGGCUACCACCAUUUCCAGAUAUGCUUACUCUCCCCCUCAAUGUUCUUCGACUUCAUCUUCUUCUUUGUGUUUCUCUUUUCCCCCUUUAUCAAGGUUCUUUUUGUUCUCUUUCAGUUUUAUAAUUCAUGGCUAAAAUUAAUGUUAAGGUGUGUUAAUUACAGUAUUUGGAAUCACAUGAACAUCACUUACAAAUAUACAUUUUAUGUUUAUAGGAGGUCGAGGCUUCCUCUGAAUAAGCGGCUCGUACUGUCAUUUUUCAUUCUAGGAUUAACUGGGUAAGUUUUAUAUUUUGGAUUUGUUUUAUUAAUUUCCAUAAAAUUGUCUUUGCUCGGAUGUUCUUGUCUUCACCAGCAAUUUUAUGGAAAUUAAUAAAACAAAUCCAAAAUAUAAAACUUACCCAGUUAAUCCUAGAAUGAAGAAUGACAGUUGAGCCACUUAUUCAGAGGAAGACUCAACCUCCUAUAAACAUAAAAUGUACAUUUCUAAUUGAUGUUCAUGUGAUUCCAAAUAUUGUAAUUAACACACCUUAACAUUAAUUUUAGCCAUGAAUUAUAAAAUUGAAAGAGAACAAAAAGAAAUUUGGCAAACCUUGAUAAAGGGGGAAAAGAGAAACACAAAGAAGAAGAUGAAGCCGAAGAACAUCAGUAAGCAUAUUAAAAAUGGUGGUAGCCUGAUGAUCAUAUGAAAAUAGCAUAGGAUUGCGUCAACUUUUUUUAUUAUUAUUAGAUAGAGUUAUAAAAAGAGGAAGGUGAUCAAAUCAGGAAAGAGAGAGAGCGUUCUGGAAGAAAAUGAAGAGUUUUGAUGAUGUAACAAUCUGAGGGAUCUUGUAAAGGUACCUGGUUCUCAACUUGAACAGUUCGUUGACUGCCAACUGGAGAAGGUAUAGAAAUAUGGUGCACAGUUCCCAACUGCGUCAGAAAAGUCAGACCUUUCCAACCAAUGACAUGAGUUUAAGGAAAGGGACCUGUCUAUACAAUGUCAUCUUUCUAAACAUGGUUCUUCAGUUUAUGCAACUUGAAAAACUACAUUCAAGAACUCUUGCAAGGGCUAAAGAAAAUGAAAGAGAAGAAUCAUUCAAGAACAACCUAAACCCAGGCGUAUAUUGUGUAGUUGUAUGAGAAUAUAUUCUUUUGGUAUUACAGUGUAAACUGAUCCUAAAUCUAUAAAGGAAUCAGUGUGGGUUGUGUUGAAAUUCUAAGUUGUCUAGAGUGAUAGCUUAGUGGGUAGAAUAACUUCUACUUAGGCUCAUCAAGCGAUAGAGCUUAAAAAUUUUGGUGAGAUUAAAAAUUUUUCUCACAUUUGUGUAACUGGUUUUACUUUUGCUUGCGAAGAUUAGUGAAAUAGUUGUGAAAA